GUAUGGGUUGGGUGGAGAUGGGGGUCUUGAUCCCUGGGCUUGGUCUCUGGGUGAGCACCACCUGGCCCCUUCUGACUCCCUAGGGCAGGGGAAGUGAGAAAGAAGGAAAGAGAAGGAGCACCUAUCACAUGCCAGGAGCUUUACAUACAUUAGCACAUUUUCUCCCCGCCCCGCACCCCUCAAGCCCGCAGGGAGGAUUAUUAUCCUCAUUUUACAGGUGACAGAAACAAAGUUCAGAGAGGUUAAAUAUCUCACUCAGGCCCACACAGCCCCCAAACUGUGGAGCUGGGAUUCAAACCCAGGGCUGCCUAAUUGCCAGCAAGGCUCGUGCGCUCUGGGACGGGGUGAGUGGCCCACUUUCCAGAGGCCCCAGGACUAGGGCAUUCCCAGGCACGCUCCAUGUGUGCAUCUGGCCUCUGGGGGCCCAGGCCUCCCAACUCUCACAAACACCCUUCAGACGUUUCCGGAUACUUCCCACCCCUGCUCUGGGGUCUUUGGGAAAACCGGGUUGGCUUUGAAGGGGCCCCCCCAGGCCCAUCAGCAUUUCUACUAUUUCACACUUUCCCUUCAGGAUCAUCAGAUGAGGAACAGCUGGGCCCGCAGAUUUAUUAGGGUUUUGCAAGUGAUUCCAUCCGCUCUUCCAGCUAAACUCCACCCCACUCCCAUUAGCAGCCUCUGGAAAGCAAAGGGAGUUCCUGUCUUGGUGCCCCAAACCUCUUAGCUGGGGUGAGUUUUGCCUCUCCCACUCCUCACAGCAAUCGGGAUCCAGCCAUACAUCUCCCCAGAAACACCAGAGACAAAGAGGAAGAAAAAGAGAGAGAAGAGUGAGACAGAGAAAGAGAUCCGGUUUGUCCGGACCCUUAAUCGACUAGAAGUGGCCGUCAUCUUGGAUACACACGAGGGAAGCUCCAGCUAGCCUGGACUGGAAACAGUACCGCAUUUUCAAUACUCAGACAUUUCCUUCUGAGGGGAGGGUCUGGUGUUGGGGCUCACGCUCUCCUUGGACUGAAUCCCCAGAAACCUAAUGCAAGGCUUCACACCGUCUUUUUGUAAUCAUGCUCACCACUUGGUGUUGGAAGGAAUUUGAAUGUAUUGAAGAGUCAGCCAUUCUGUGCCGUGAAAUAGGAAAACUCCAGCAACCUAAAACUCUCGAGGCCCCGAGGCUUUCAGGGAGUUCUAGUGUCACCCUCCCCUGGGGCCAGCUUGCCAUGGGGCUGUGCACACAGUAGGCUUUCAUGAGCACUCUUGCCCUCUCCUCCCUCCUGGGGUAGGCCCCAAGCACUUAAGGUUAUUAUAACAGGUCAAGUCUCACUCACCAAUUUGUUUAACCUCACACCAUGUUGGAUAUAAAUUCCUUAAUCUAAAUAACGGGCACUCAUUUUCCCCCUGCCCUGAAACAACAGGCAUUUCAUUCACUCCAGCUGGCAGUGCCUGGCAGACUGGCUAACUGGCUCUUAUGUAUGGGCUGAAACGUGCUGCGGCUUGUCCCUGCUCCAUCUCUCCUCCUCCUCAGCUUUUCUACAAGCCACAUGCAAAAAUCUGCCCCAUUACUCGAUUAUCGCAUUUCAUAUGAAAUUAGGUAUUGCAGGUCUCAUGUUAUUCACUUAGCUUGGCGCAGACCGAGGGCAUGACUCAGAGGCACUCCCAGUUUCACCUCCUUCCAGCCAUGGCUCCUCCUUUAUCCUGACCCCUGGGACACCCUGUCCUGCCAGGACACCCGUCUUCCUCCUGAGGCUUCUGUUAAACCACACUCUCAGGCCCCUUAGCAGGACAGAGCAUUUCCGACCAGCUUCAAUUCCACCCUUUUGAACCCUGACCCGCCAGUGUCUCCUGGAAGUACCCAGAUGAAUGAUCUCCAUUUGCCUCCCUCAUGGUGUGGCCCGCAGCGUUGUGGACCAGCCCUGUGCUUACCUCGGCCCUGGCGGCUUUUUCAUUCUUCUCCCUGUCACUAGACUAAUGGUUUCUCUAAAAAGCUCCAACCCUCCAGGCUGCAGUGUCAGCAGCUCUGGGUGGCCCAGCACACACUUCCUCCAGGUACACGUGAGCGUGCUAAAAAUCCUGGUCCCACCCACACAUCCUGGUCUGGUAGCUUCCCCCGUCCCACUUUGCAGCCUUCACAUUCUCAACUCCCACGUUUACAUUUCAUCAGAGUCAACCUCAGGCUUUCUGUGAUCCCCUCAUCAAUCCGCAGUGAU
Molecule: long non-coding RNA, 2195 nt
Organism: Bos taurus (domestic cattle)
Lineage: Eukaryota; Metazoa; Chordata; Mammalia; Artiodactyla; Bovidae
Source: Ensembl